UACGUAGGGGGCAAGCGUUGUCCGGAUUCAUUGGGCGUAAAGAGCGUGUAGGCGGCCAGGUAGGUCGGUUGUGAAAACUGGAGGCUCAACCUUCAGAGGUCGACCGAAACCAUCUGGCUAGAGUCCGGGAGAGGAGAGUGGAAUUCCUGGUGUAGCGGUGAAAUGCGCAGAUAUCAGGGAGAACACCCGUGGCGAAAGCGGCUCUCUGGAACGGUACUGACGCUGAGACGCGAAAGCGUGGGGAGCGAACAGG
This 253-nucleotide ribosomal RNA is filed under the name uncultured bacterium. RNAcentral's name for it is "partial 16S ribosomal RNA". It matches the Rfam family "Bacterial small subunit ribosomal RNA", at positions 524 to 776 of the family's 1533-position model. The record is from RNAcentral.